GAUGAACGCUGGCGGCGUGCCUAAUACAUGCAAGUCGAGCGAACAGACGAGGAGCUUGCUCCUUUGACGUUAGCGGCGGACGGGUGAGUAACACGUAGGUAACCUACCUAUAAGACUGGGAUAACUUCGGGAAACCGGAGCUAAUACCGGAUAAUAUUUCGAACCGCAUGGUUCGAUAGUGAAAGAUGGCUUUGCUAUCACCUAUAGAUGGACCUGCGCCGUAUUAGCUAGUUGGUAAGGUAGCGGCUUACCAAGGCAACGAUACGUAGCCGACCUGAGAGGGUGAUCGGCCACACUGGAACUGAGACACGGUCCAGACUCCUACGGGAGGCAGCAGUAGGGAAUCUUCCGCAAUGGGCGAAAGCCUGACGGAGCAACGCCGCGUGAGUGAUGAAGGUCUUCGGAUCGUAAAACUCUGUUAUUAGGGAAGAACAAACGUGUAAGUAACUGUGCACGUCUUGACGGUACCUAAUCAGAAAGCCACGGCUAACUACGUG
This 497-nucleotide ribosomal RNA is filed under the name uncultured bacterium. RNAcentral's name for it is "partial 16S ribosomal RNA". It matches the Rfam family "Bacterial small subunit ribosomal RNA", at positions 28 to 507 of the family's 1533-position model. The record is from RNAcentral.